UAAUACGGAGGGUGCAAGCGUUAUCCGGAUUCACUGGGUUUAAAGGGUGUGUAGGCGGACAGUUAAGUCAGCGGUGAAAUCUCCGGGCUCAACCCGGAAACUGCCAUUGAUACUAUCUGUCUUGAAUAUUGUUGAGGUGGGCGGAAUAUGUCAUGUAGCGGUGAAAUGCAUAGAUAUGACAUAGAACACCGAUUGCGAAGGCAGCUCACUAAACAAUGAUUGACGCUGAGGCACGAAAGCGUGGGGAUCAAACAGGAUUAGAUACCCUGGUAGUCCACGCCCUAAACGAUGAUUACUCGACAUACGCGAUACACAGUGUGUGUCUGAGCGAAAGCAUUAAGUAAUCCACCUGGGAAGUACGUCCGCAAGGAUG
RNAcentral lists this ribosomal RNA (373 nucleotides) under uncultured bacterium. RNAcentral describes it as "bacterial SSU rRNA". It matches the Rfam family "Bacterial small subunit ribosomal RNA", at positions 521 to 896 of the family's 1533-position model. The record is from RNAcentral.